GGGGGAGUAUGGUUGCAAAGCUGAAACUUAAAGGAUUUGGUGGAAGGGCACCACCAGGAGUGGAGCCUGCGGCUUAUUUUGACUCAACACGGGAAACCUCACCCGGCCUGGACUCGGACAGGAUUGACAGAUUGAUAGCUCUUUCUUGAUUCCAUGGGUUGUGGUGCAUGGCCUUAGUUGGUGGAGUGAUUUGUCUGGUUAAUUCUGAUAACGAACGAGACUCUGGCAUGCUAACUAGUUACGCGACCCCCGAGCAGUCGGCAUCCCCCAACUUCUUAGAGGGACAAGUGGCGUUCAGCCACCCGAGAUUGAGCAAUAAGCGGUCUGUGCUGCCCUUAGAUGUCCGGGGCUGCACGAGUCCUACACUGACUGGCUCAGCAUGUGCCUACCCUACGUGGCAGACGUGGGUAACCUGUUGAACCCCAUUGGUAUGGUGAUCGGGGAUUGCAAUUAUUCCCCAUGAAUGAGGAAUUCCCAGUAAGUGCGGGUCAUAGGCUUGCGUGAAGUCCCCGCCCUUUGUACACACCGCCGGUCGCUACUACUGAUUGGAUGGUUUAGUGAGGCCCUCGGAUCGGCCCCGCUGGGUCAGCCUGCUGCCCUGGCAGAGCACUGAGAAGACAGUCGAACUUGACUAUCUAGAGGCAGCAAAAGUCGUAACAAAGUUUCCGUAGGUGAACCUGUGGAAG
RNAcentral lists this non-coding RNA (686 nucleotides) under Gorilla gorilla gorilla (western lowland gorilla). RNAcentral describes it as "Eukaryotic small subunit ribosomal RNA". It matches the Rfam family "Eukaryotic small subunit ribosomal RNA", at positions 1117 to 1823 of the family's 1831-position model. Lineage: Eukaryota; Metazoa; Chordata; Mammalia; Primates; Hominidae. The record is from Rfam by way of RNAcentral.